This 495-nucleotide ribosomal RNA is filed under the name uncultured bacterium. RNAcentral's name for it is "partial 16S ribosomal RNA". It matches the Rfam family "Bacterial small subunit ribosomal RNA", at positions 28 to 507 of the family's 1533-position model. The record is from RNAcentral.
GACGAACGCUGGCGGCGUGCCUAAUACAUGCAAGUAGAACGCUGAAGGAGGAGCUUGCUUCUCUGGAUGAGUUGCGAACGGGUGAGUAACGCGUAGGUAACCUGCCUGGUAGCGGGGGAUAACUAUUGGAAACGAUAGCUAAUACCGCAUAAUAGCAGUUGUUGCAUGACAACUGUUUGAAAGGUGCAAAUGCACCACUACCAGAUGGACCUGCGUUGUAUUAGCUAGUUGGUGGGGUAACGGCUCACCAAGGCGACGAUACAUAGCCGACCUGAGAGGGUGAUCGGCCACACUGGGACUGAGACACGGCCCAGACUCCUACGGGAGGCAGCAGUAGGGAAUCUUCGGCAAUGGACGGAAGUCUGACCGAGCAACGCCGCGUGAGUGAAGAAGGUUUUCGGAUCGUAAAGCUCUGUUGUAAGAGAAGAACGAGUGUGAGAGUGGAAAGUUCACACUGUGACGGUAUCUUACCAGAAAGGGACGGCUAACUACGUG